RNAcentral lists this ribosomal RNA (250 nucleotides) under uncultured bacterium. RNAcentral's name for it is "partial 16S ribosomal RNA". It matches the Rfam family "Bacterial small subunit ribosomal RNA", at positions 524 to 773 of the family's 1533-position model. The record is from RNAcentral.
UACGAAGGGGGCUAGCGUUGUUCGGAAUUACUGGGCGUAAAGCGCACGUAGGCGGGUUGUUAAGUCAGGGGUGAAAUCCUGGAGCUCAACUCCAGAACUGCCUUUGAUACUGGCAACCUAGAGACUGGAAGAGGUUAGUGGAAUUCCCAGUGUAGAGGUGAAAUUCGUAGAUAUUGGGAAGAACACCAGUGGCGAAGGCGGCUAACUGGUCCAGCACUGACGCUGAGGUGCGAAAGCGUGGGGAGCAAAC